GGCUACUGAAUAUAAGAUGUGGGAUAAUAUAAGAAUGGGACAUUUUAUCCAAGUCAUCUCAAUGGUAAAAAGUGUCCCAAUCACCCUGAACUGGAGCUCUAAAAUAAUGUUAUUGACUUCAACUGAUGAAUGCAGCCAAAGAAAAGAUGAAGAAUGGAAAAGCACUUUGCUGGCAAAGAAAUUGGAAAAUAACACAGGUAAGACAAUUCCUAUACCCAUAAAUACCUGUCAAACAUGGUUUUAUUAAAGAAAAGUUAUUUAAAAAAAUUACUUUAAUUUUUACACAUAAGAAAGGUAUAGCAUGUGGCAAAAAGUGUAAUAUAGCCACACUGUGAGAUACAAGCAAGUGACGAUCGAGUGACGUCAUUCUUUAGGUUACGCGCAUGUAUCCAUGGCAACGCUCGGCUGCGUCGACAGUUAACGGUCCUGCCGGUGAUUUUCUCAGAUGAGGCCUUGAGUUUUCUCUUUCGUCGGUCGAAAAGGUUAGAAGCCAUCGAAAAAACUGCCAUCGGACUACCACAGCUGACAACGAGAGACGCGCGUGCACAACUGCAUAACACACACACGGAAAGAGCACAACAAUUAUGAAACUGCUCAUUUAUUAUAAAUAAAUAAAUGUAUUUUUCUCCUUA
Long non-coding RNA from Megalobrama amblycephala (Wuchang bream), 632 nucleotides. RefSeq lists it as uncharacterized. The transcript is spliced from 2 exons. The record is from RefSeq and is a predicted model, not a curated record. Lineage: Eukaryota; Metazoa; Chordata; Actinopteri; Cypriniformes; Xenocyprididae.